UAAAUAUGCAGCGAGAGAGAGAGAGUGAGAGAGAGAGAGAGAGACAGAGAGAGAGAGAGACUUAUCGAUGAGCUAUAAGCUAUAAGCUUAGCUAAAAAUGGCCACUAGCCAUCCUUCUAGGACCUAU
Molecule: long non-coding RNA, 127 nt
Organism: Juglans microcarpa x Juglans regia
Lineage: Eukaryota; Viridiplantae; Streptophyta; Magnoliopsida; Fagales; Juglandaceae
Exons: 2
Source: RefSeq, a predicted model, not a curated record